This 69-nucleotide transfer RNA is filed under the name Bos taurus (domestic cattle). It matches the Rfam family "tRNA". Rfam says of the family: Transfer RNA (tRNA) molecules are approximately 80 nucleotides in length. Their secondary structure includes four short double-helical elements and three loops (D, anti-codon, and T loops). Lineage: Eukaryota; Metazoa; Chordata; Mammalia; Artiodactyla; Bovidae. RNAcentral also lists the same sequence under 4 other names. The record is from Rfam by way of RNAcentral.
CCUGGUGGCUCAGCUGGUAAAGAAUCUGCCUGCAAUGCAGGAGACCUGGGUUCGAUCCCUGCGUCAGGG